UGGAUCAGUGAUGACUACUGGUGGGGUAUGAGUCAUGUACAAUGAAUACGUGUCUCGAAUGCUGAGGUUCAA
Dama dama (fallow deer) is the source of this 72-nucleotide small nucleolar RNA. RefSeq annotates it as small nucleolar RNA SNORD113/SNORD114 family. Lineage: Eukaryota; Metazoa; Chordata; Mammalia; Artiodactyla; Cervidae. The transcript has a single exon. The record is from RefSeq and is a predicted model, not a curated record.